UGCCCGAGCCCGUUGACAGCGACUAGCUUCUGGCUUCUCUCUUACCUCCACGUUUGCUUUCCCGCAGUCAUCUAGGAACAUGGGUCUGCUGGCAGUCAGCCCUUCUUUCCACAUGUGGGGGCCCAUGGAGGCUCCCUAGUAUGGCUUUACUCCAGAGAAUUACAGCCUGCAGUGAGCAAGGAUGAGGAAGAUGGGCAGGAAGCCAGCGCUCUGUGCGGUUCAGCUGCCUCCUCUCAGUGGACCAGAUCCCCACGGUUGUUUCCAGGGAGGCCUGACCUUUCAAAUACCUGGGGCUGUGGAGCACAAAGGGAAGAGAGCAAAGUAGACCAGGAUAAGAUAACCGCACAGCCACUUGCUAAACUUAGGUGUACACACACACACACACACACACACACACACACACACACACUGCUUCAUGAAAUAUGAUCUGAUGAAUUCAUCAUCAGGCAAUUUCAUCACUGUGCCAAUCAAAUCAGAGCGCGCACUUACUCAAAGAUGGUAAUAGGAACUUUUUAGCUUCGUUAUAAUGUAUGGAACACGACCUGUAGAUGCAGGCUGUCAUUGAAUGAAAUGUCAUUGUGUGGCACAUGACUGUAGAUAUACAGAUAUAGAUCUUUAAAUAUAGAGAAGGCCCCUUUCCUCUAGUCUGUGAUCAUCUCCUAGAGGAUAGGUACCGGUGGAACAAGGAAUUGGCCCGGGAAGGAGUACAAGGUGCUUGGCACAGUGGGACUAUAAGCUUGAGGUAAAGGAGCAUUACCUCACUGACGUACCUGGUGUACCUUUCAGGGAUCCUGUAGUAAAAAGGAGGUGAUGAGGUGUGGCAGGGAGGUCCCUGAGACAGGAAGUACAGAGGACCCAUGAAUGGUGUGGGCAAGGAUUUUCAUUGGCAGUAGCAAAUCCCUGACAGCAAUAAUACUAAAUUGACAUUUCUUUCGUGACAACGCACAACCAAAGGGGUAAGGGCAGCUUAAGAGCAUACCUAAGGGCCAGGGAGGUGUCUCUACAAUAAAGACAUUUGCCGCUAAGUCCGAUAACCUGAUGGCCCACUUAGUGGAAGGAGCGAACUUCUAGCAACUUCUUCUCUGACCUCCACAUGCACACAUACACACACUGUGGUGCAUGUAUGCCCUAUACCCACUCACUCUGUCUCCCUCACACACACAUGCACACACACAAACACACACACACACACAUACAGAGAGAGAGAGAGAGAGAGAGACAGAGACAGAGAGAGACAGACAGAGAGAUAGAGAGAUAGAGAGACAGAAAGAGAGAGGGGGGAGAUUUUUUUUAAAGAUAGUACCUAAAUUUCUUUGUAUCCAGCUCCUCCCUCUUCCCACCCCACCGUUGCUAAGUUCACCCCUGAAUUAUGCCAAUAGCUCAAUUUGUGCCAACUUGAUGGGCCACAGAAUGCCCAGACAAUCUGGUUAAACAAUGUUUCUGGAUCUGUCUUAGGAAAUAUUUCCAGAAUAGAUCAGCAAUUGAAUGAAGGAUCCAAGUAGAGCGCGUAACUCUCCACCAUGCGGGUGAGCUGCAUCGGCCUUGAUCUCCCUGCUCCAGAGAGUCUGCAUAGAAUAGAAGUGGAGAGGAUCGAAUUUGCCCUCUGCCUGGCUGCUGAGCUGAGACAUUGAUCUUCUCUGUUCCUUGAUCUUAGGUCUUCAGAUCUGGCCUAGAAUGCACCAUCAGCAGCACAGCUCUCAGGCAUCUGGACUACAUCACGGGCUUGCCUGGGUCUCCAACUUGCAGACCGCAGACUGUAGUCAUCCUCAGCUUCCACCAUUGCAUGAGCCAAUACCUUAUAAUUAGCCUCUUACUAAGGAUUUUAUAUAUCCGUAUUGUGGUGGUUUGAAUGAGAUUAGCCCCCAUAGACUUUGAACGCUUGGUCCCCAGUUAGUGGAGCUGUCUGGGAAGGAUCAGGACUCAGGGUCUUGUUGGAGGAGUGUGUUGC
Molecule: non-coding RNA, 1948 nt
Organism: Peromyscus maniculatus bairdii (prairie deer mouse)
Lineage: Eukaryota; Metazoa; Chordata; Mammalia; Rodentia; Cricetidae
Source: RefSeq, a predicted model, not a curated record